CUUUUUAUGAGAGUUUGAUCCUGGCUCAGGAUGAACGCUGGCGGCGUGCUUAACACAUGCAAGUCGAACGAAGCAUUUAAGACAGAUUACUUCGGUUUGAAGUCUUUUAUGACUGAGUGGCGGACGGGUGAGUAACGCGUGGGUAACCUGCCUCAUACAGGGGGAUAGCAGCUGG
RNAcentral lists this ribosomal RNA (175 nucleotides) under [Lactobacillus] rogosae. RNAcentral's name for it is "Lactobacillus rogosae 16S rRNA. Bacterial SSU". It matches the Rfam family "Bacterial small subunit ribosomal RNA", at positions 1 to 153 of the family's 1533-position model. The record is from RNAcentral. Lineage: Bacteria; Bacillati; Bacillota; Clostridia; Lachnospirales; Lachnospiraceae.